This 1078-nucleotide ribosomal RNA is filed under the name uncultured organism. Its description in RNAcentral is "bacterial SSU rRNA". It matches the Rfam family "Bacterial small subunit ribosomal RNA", at positions 56 to 1103 of the family's 1533-position model. The record is from RNAcentral.
UGCAAGUCGUGCGAGAAAGUCACCUUCGGGUGGUGAGUAACGCGGCGAACGGGUGAGUAACACGUAAGAAACCUGCCCCUAAAUCCGGAAUAACAUUGCUAACGCGGUGCUAAUACCGGAUGUGGUCUCCAGUUUGCAUGAACAGGAGAUUAAAGGUGACCUCUACUUGUAAGUUAUCGUUUAGGGAUGGUCUUGCGGACCAUUAGCUUGUUGGCGGGGUAACGGCCCACCAAGGCUGCGAUGGUUAGCCGGCUUAAGAGGGUGAUCGGCCACAUUGGGACUGAGAUACGGCCCAGACUCCUACGGGAGGCAGCAGUAGGGAAUUUUGCGCAAUGGACGAAAGUCUGACGCAGCAACGCCGCGUGAGCGAUGAAGGUUUUCGGAUUGUAAAGCUCUGUUGAGUGGGAAGAAAACUCUCCGGGAUAAUACCCUGGAGACUUGACGGUACCACUCGAGGAAGCCCCGGCUAAAUACGUGCCAGCAGCCGCGGUAAUACGUAUGGGGCAAGCGUUGUUCGGAAUCACUGGGCGUAAAGGGAGUGUAGGCGGAAAGGUAAGUUAGAAGUGUAAUCCACGGGCUUAACCCGUGACUCGCUUUUAAUACUGCUUUUCUUGAGUAUGGGAGAGGGAGAUGGAAUUCCAGGUGUAGCGGUGGAAUGCGUAGAUACCUGGAAGAACACCAGUAGCGAAGGCGGUCUCCUGGCCCAAUACUGACGCUGAGGCUCGAAAGCGUGGGGAGCGAACAGGAUUAGAUACCCUGGUAGUCCACGCCGUAAACGAUGGACACUAGAUGUUGGCCUCUUCGGGGGUCGGUGUCGUAGCUAACGCGUUAAGUGUCCCGCAUGGGAAGUACGCUCGGCAAGAGUGAAACUCAACGGAAUUGACGGGGGCCCGUACAAGCGGUGGAGCAUGUGCUUUAAAUUUUCGAUGCAACGCGAAGAAACUUACUGGGACUUGACCUGGGGGUGAAAGUUUCAGAGAUGAAAACCCUCCUUCGGGAACGCCCUACACAGGUGCUGCAUGGUUGUCGUCAGCUCGUGUCGUGAGAUGUUGGGUUAAGUCCCGCAACGAGCGCAACC